AUGAUAUUGGGCUUUUUAUUUCCCUAGCAUUAAUGGUCUCUGGUUUUAUUUCGCUGUCCUUUAAAUUCAUAACAGUAGAUGUUUUAAAAUCAACAAAGGUUAUUGAGAGGAAAUGCUUGACGGUGGUCUUCUUCAGUAGGAGGAGCCUUGGCCUCAAUUUCUCUUUGGAGAUGAGAACUGUCAGGCGACACUCUUACUAUUGUAUUGUAGAGCGUCCUCUUUCUUUUAUGUUUUCUCGAUUUUUUUUUUUUUAUUUCCUUUUUCUUGUGUAGGAAUUUUUUCUCAUUUUUUAUGAGUUUAAAACUUAAUUGUGAUCUGCUUUUAGUUUUUAAGAAUAGGC
Molecule: unclassified non-coding RNA, 340 nt
Filed under: Hevea brasiliensis (rubber tree)
Lineage: Eukaryota; Viridiplantae; Streptophyta; Magnoliopsida; Malpighiales; Euphorbiaceae
Source: RNAcentral